RNAcentral lists this ribosomal RNA (429 nucleotides) under Chloroflexota bacterium. RNAcentral's name for it is "Chloroflexi bacterium partial 16S ribosomal RNA". It matches the Rfam family "Bacterial small subunit ribosomal RNA", at positions 355 to 776 of the family's 1533-position model. Lineage: Bacteria; Bacillati; Chloroflexota. The record is from RNAcentral.
UGGGGAAUAUUGCACAAUGGGCGCAAGCCUGAUGCAGCCAUGCCGCGUGUAUGAAGAAGGCCUUCGGGUUGUAAAGUACUUUCAGUCGGGAGGAAGGUGUCAAGGUUAAUAACCUUGGCAAUUGACGUUACCGACAGAAGAAGCACCGGCUAACUCCGUGCCAGCAGCCGCGGUAAUACGGAGGGUGCAAGCGUUAAUCGGAAUUACUGGGCGUAAAGCGCACGCAGGCGGUUGAUUGAGUCAGAUGUGAAAUCCCCGGGCUUAACCCGGGAAUUGCAGCUGAUAGUGGGCAGCGAGAGUCUUGGAGAGGGGGGUAGAAUUCCAUGUGUAGCGGUGAAAGGCGUAGAGAGGUGGAGGAAUACCGGGGGCGAAGGCGGCGACCUGGACAAAGACGGACGCGCAGGGGCGAAAGAGUGGGGAGCAAACAGG